This 459-nucleotide ribosomal RNA is filed under the name uncultured bacterium. RNAcentral describes it as "partial 16S ribosomal RNA". It matches the Rfam family "Bacterial small subunit ribosomal RNA", at positions 339 to 795 of the family's 1533-position model. The record is from RNAcentral.
CUACGGGCGGCAGCAGUGAGGAAUAUUGGGCAAUGGAGGAAACUCUGACCCAGCCAUGCCGCGUGCAGGAAGACGGCCCUAUGGGUUGUAAACUGCUUUUGUACGAGAAUAAACCUUUCCACGUGUGGAAAGCUGAAGGUACCGUACGAAUAAGGAUCGGCUAACUCCGUGCCAGCAGCCGCGGUAAUACGGAGGAUCCAAGCGUUAUCCGGAUUUAUUGGGUUUAAAGGGUCCGUAGGCGGGUUUUUAAGUCAGUGGUGAAAGCCUACAGCUUAACUGUAGAAUUGCCAUCGAUACUGGAGACCUUGAGUGUAGUAGAAGAAGGCGGAAUAAGGCAUGUAGCGGUGAAAUGCAUAGAUAUGCCUUAGAACACCGAUUGCGAAGGCAGCUUACUAUGUUACAACUGACGCUGAGGGACGAAAGCGUGGGGAGCGAACAGGAUUAGAUACCCUCGUAGUC